UCCGCAAUAGUUUAGUGGCUAGAAUUUUCGCCUGUCAUGCGGGGAACGGAGUCCAAUUCUCCGUUGCGGGG
This is a non-coding RNA of Yarrowia sp. B02, 71 nucleotides long. Lineage: Eukaryota; Fungi; Ascomycota; Dipodascomycetes; Dipodascales. The record is from the annotation of a GenBank genome assembly.